Molecule: RNase P RNA, 278 nt
Filed under: Lysobacteraceae bacterium
Lineage: Bacteria; Pseudomonadati; Pseudomonadota; Gammaproteobacteria; Lysobacterales; Lysobacteraceae
Description: Xanthomonadaceae bacterium Bacterial RNase P class A
Rfam family: Bacterial RNase P class A
About the family: Ribonuclease P (RNase P) is a ubiquitous endoribonuclease, found in archaea, bacteria and eukarya as well as chloroplasts and mitochondria. Its best characterised activity is the generation of mature 5'-ends of tRNAs by cleaving the 5'-leader elements of precursor-tRNAs.
Source: Rfam by way of RNAcentral
GGAGUCGGCCAGGCAGUCGCGUCACUCGCAUCACUCCGGUGAAGGCGGGUGCCGAGGAAAGUCCGGGCUCCACAGGGCACGGUGCCAGGUAACGCCUGGGCGGCGCGAGCUGACGGAAAGUGCAACAGAAAGAUACCGCCGAUGGCUCUUCGGAGAUCAGGCAAGGGUGAAAUGGUGCGGUAAGAGCGCACCGCGAGCCUGGCAACAGGCCGGCACGGCAAACCCCACCGGGAGCAAGACCAAAUAGGGACCUCAUGACGCGGCCCGCGUCGGGUCCG